GUCUUUAUCUCUCUCUACAUACGCGGCUCUUUCUCCUCUCAGACGUGUAACAUCAACAUCCUCUUGCUUUUGGUGCUUUGAGUUGUUUUGUUACCUUGCAAACACCUGUGUUUCACAGAGACCAACAAUAUAUUUUUGGGGUUAAACAUUAUCUCUUCAGGUUUUCAUGGGGAUUAGCAAUAUAUUUUGGGGGUUAAACAUUAUCUCUUCAGGUUAGAUUACUUCGAUGCCCUUGUUUCUGGCAAAUCUGAUGUUUACUUUUAAGGUUAUAUUGGACAGUUUAUAGAAGUGUUUAGCUAUGAUAGUUGAAUAAAUUCUGGAUUACGCUCUGUUCUGCUUGGGUUUUCUGUCGAUGUUUCUCGCUUCGCUUCUCCACUGUUCAGCUUUUCGUCUCUGUGCUCGUUUCCUGACAGAGAGAACAUAUGAAGUAUAGACUAACCAUUGAUAAGAUCACUCCACAAACAAAAGAGUAGACCUCAAAGGUACAUCUCAUUGAGAAAACUCGGCCAAGGAAAAGUAAAGAUGGAAAGACCCAAUUCCAGAUCGUUGUUGUCCAAAACGAAAAUGAAGACAAAGUAGCUGCUGUUUUGUACGGAGAAGACAUAGAAAAGGAUGCACACAAGCUAACUCCGUUUUCCACUUACUUGAUAUCUACUGC
Nicotiana tabacum (common tobacco) is the source of this 658-nucleotide non-coding RNA. The record is from RefSeq and is a predicted model, not a curated record. NCBI's taxonomy places the organism in Eukaryota, Viridiplantae, Streptophyta, Magnoliopsida, Solanales, Solanaceae.